Molecule: ribosomal RNA, 494 nt
Filed under: uncultured bacterium
Lineage: Bacteria
Description: partial 16S ribosomal RNA
Rfam family: Bacterial small subunit ribosomal RNA
Source: RNAcentral
AGUGAACGCUGGCGGAAUGCUUUACACAUGCAAGUCGAACGGUAGAGGGGCAACCCUUGAGAGUGGCGAACGGGUGAGUAAUGUAUCGGAACAUGCCCAGUCGUGGGGGAUAACGUAGCGAAAGUUACGCUAAUACCGCAUACGAUCUAUGGAUGAAAGCGGGGGAUCGCAAGACCUCGCGCGAGUGGAGUGGCCGAUAUCAGAUUAGGUAGUUGGUGGGGUAAAGGCCUACCAAGCCGACGAUCUGUAGCUGGUCUGAGAGGACGACCAGCCAGACUGGGACUGAGAAACGGCCCAGACUCCUACGGGAGGCAGCAGUGGGGAAUUUUGGACAAGGGGCGCAAGCCUGAACCAGCCUUUCCGCGUGCGGGAAGAAGGCCUUCGGGUUGUAAACUGCUUUUGUACGGAACGAAACGCGCUGAGCAAAUACCUCGGCGUGAUGACGGUACCGUAAGAAUAAGCACCGGCUAACUACGUGCCAGCCGCCGCAGUAA